GACGAACGCUGGCGGCGUGCUUAACACAUGCAAGUCGAACGAUGAAGCCGGAGCUUGCUCUGGUGAAUUAGUGGCGAACGGGUGAGUAACACGUGAGUAACCUGCCCUUGACUCUGGGAUAACUGCGGGAAACUGUAGCUAAUACCGGAUACGACCCUCGGAGGCAUCUCCUGGGGGUGGAAAGAAUUUCGGUCAAGGAUGGACUCGCGGCCUAUCAGCUAGUUGGUGAGGGAAAGGCUCACCAAGGCGACGACGGGUAGCCGGCCUGAGAGGGUGACCGGCCACACUGGGACUGAGACACGGCCCAGACUCCGACGGGAGGCAGCAGUGGGGAAUAUCGCACAAUGGGCGCAAGCCUGAUGCAGCAACGCCGCGUGAGGGAUGACGGCCUUCGGGUUGUAGACCUCUUUUAGCAGGGAAGAAGCGAAAGUGACGGUACCUGCGGAAAAAGCACCGGCUAACUACGUGCCAGCCGCCGCCGUAA
RNAcentral lists this ribosomal RNA (484 nucleotides) under uncultured bacterium. Its description in RNAcentral is "partial 16S ribosomal RNA". It matches the Rfam family "Bacterial small subunit ribosomal RNA", at positions 28 to 523 of the family's 1533-position model. The record is from RNAcentral.